RNAcentral lists this ribosomal RNA (545 nucleotides) under Macruronus magellanicus (Patagonian grenadier). Its description in RNAcentral is "partial 16S ribosomal RNA". The stretch from base 179 to 545 matches the Rfam family "Bacterial large subunit ribosomal RNA", at positions 566 to 1050 of the family's 2925-position model. The record is from RNAcentral. Lineage: Eukaryota; Metazoa; Chordata; Actinopteri; Gadiformes; Merlucciidae.
ACACCUAACAGCUAGCCUUAACACUAGAAAAACGCUAUAAAAUUAAACAAAACUUGUAGUAUACUAAGUAAACCAUUUUAACCCUUAGUCUGGGCGACAAAAAAGGAAAAUAAGAGCGAUAGAGGCAGUACCGUGAGGGAAAGCUGAAAUAGAAAUUAAAUAAACCAUCUAAGUAAAAAAAAGUAGAGCUAAUCUCUCGUACCUUUUGCAUCAUGAUUUAGCAAGCAAAAUGCAAGCAAAAAGGUUUAUAGUUUGCAACCCCGAAACUGGGCGAGCUACUCCGAGCCAGCCCGUAAAUGUAAAUUAAAGGGGGCCAACCCGUCUCUGUGGCAAAAGAGUGGGAAGAGCUCCGAGUAGAGGUGACAAAUCUAUCGAGCCCAGUAAUAGCUGGUUGCCUGAGAAAUGAAUAGGAGUUCAGCCCUUUAGACUUUCCCACAUCACAAAUGCUCCCGCUAAUAAUAGAUAAAGGAAAAUAAAGGAGUUAUCAAAAGGGGGACAGCCCUUUUGAUAUAAGAAACAACUUUAAUAGGUGGCCCAAGAUCAUA